Molecule: ribosomal RNA, 253 nt
Filed under: uncultured bacterium
Lineage: Bacteria
Description: partial 16S ribosomal RNA
Rfam family: Bacterial small subunit ribosomal RNA
Source: RNAcentral
UACGGAGGGUGCGAGCGUUGUUCGGAAUUACUGGGCGUAAAGGGCGCGUAGGCGGCCUGUUAAGUCGAACGUGAAAUCCCUAGGCUCAACCUAGGAACUGCGUCCGAUACUGGCAGGCUUGAAUCCGGGAGAGGGAUGUGGAAUUCCAGGUGUAGCGGUGAAAUGCGUAGAUAUCUGGAGGAACACCGGUGGCGAAGGCGGCAUCCUGGACCGGUAUUGACGCUGAGGCGCGAAAGCCAGGGGAGCGAACGGG